AAACACCCCUCUUUUUGGGCCGCGCCCGCUAACGCCAAUUAAAGUUAUCCACCUUGGGAGGUACGGACCGCAAAGGUUGAAACUCAAAGGAAUUGACGGGGGCCCGCACCAAGCAGUGGAGGUAUGUGGUUUAAUUCGAAGCAACGCGAAGAACCUUUACCAGGUCUUGACAUCCACUUAAAGCCAUAGAGAUAUGGUGUGAGCUUGCUCGAAGUGAGACAGGUGGUGCAUGGUUGUCGUCAGCUCGUGUCGUGAGAUGUUGGGUUAAGUCCCGCAACGAGCGCAACCCUUAUUUUCAGUUACUAACACGUAGCGGUGAGGACUCUGAAGAGACUGCCGGGGACAACUCGGAGGAAGGUGGGGACGACGUCAAAUCAUCAUGCCCGGUUAUGACCUGGGCUACACACGUGAUACAAUGGCCACCACAGUGUGGGGCGGCCCGCAAGGGGGAGCGGAUCUCAAAAAAGUGGUCCCAGUUCGGAUUGUGGGCUGCAACCCGCCCACAUAAAGUCGGAGUUGCUAGUAAUCGCGGAUCAGCAUGCCGCGGUGAAUACGUUCCCGGGCCUUGUACACACCGCCCGUCACACCAUGGGAGUUGGGAGUGCCCAAAGUCGGUGAGGUAACCGCAAGGAGCCAGCCGCCUAAGGCAAGACCAAUGACUGGGGUGAAGUCGUAACAAGUGCCUAAUCUAGAGCACCGCGAGGUCCCUCUCGAUGAUGGCGUCGUCCCGGUCCUCCAG
RNAcentral lists this ribosomal RNA (739 nucleotides) under uncultured bacterium. RNAcentral describes it as "bacterial SSU rRNA". It matches the Rfam family "Bacterial small subunit ribosomal RNA", at positions 828 to 1533 of the family's 1533-position model. The record is from RNAcentral.